Molecule: ribosomal RNA, 439 nt
Filed under: uncultured bacterium
Lineage: Bacteria
Description: partial 16S ribosomal RNA
Rfam family: Bacterial small subunit ribosomal RNA
Source: RNAcentral
CGGGAGGCAGCAGCAGUGAGGAAUAUUGCACAAUGGAGGAAACUCUGAUGCAGCAACGCCGCGUGGAGGAUGACGCAUUUCGGUGUGUAAACUCCUUUUAUGAGUCAAGAAAAUGACGGUAGCUCAUGAAUAAGCACCGGCUAACUCCGUGCCAGCAGCCGCGGUAAUACGGAGGGUGCAAGCGUUACUCGGAAUCACUGGGCGCAAAGGACGCGUAGGCGGGAUAUCAAGUCAGGUGUGAAAUCCUACAGCUUAACUGUAGAACUGCACUUGAAACUGGUAAACUAAAGUAUGGGAGGGGGAGAUGGAAUUAGUGGUGUAGGGGUAAAAUCCGUAGAUAUCACUAGGAAUACCUAAAGCGAAGGCGAUCUCCUGGAACAUAACUGACGCUAAGGCGUGAAAGCGUGGGGAGCAAACAGGAUUAGAUACCCUUGUAGUC